ACUGCUCAGUAACACGUGGACAACCUGCCCUUAGGUUGGGUAUAAACCCGGGAAACUGGGUAUAAUACCCGAUAGGUCUCGAUUGCUGGAAUGCAUCGAGAUUUAAAGCUCCGGCGCCUAAGGAUGGGUCUGCGGCCUAUCAGGUAGUAGUGGGUGUAGCGUACCUACUAGCCUACGACGGGUACGGGUUGUGAGAGCAAGAGCCCGGAGAUGGAUUCUGAGACACGAAUCCAGGCCCUACGGGGUGCAGCAGGCGCGAAAACUUUACAAUGCGGGCAACCGUGAUAAGGGAACCUCGAGUGCCUGUAUAUGCAGGCUGUCCAGGUGUCUAAAACACACCUGAAGAAAGGGCCGGGCAAGACCGGUGCCAGCCGCCGCGGUAAUACCGGCGGCUCGAGUGGUGGCCACUAUUAUUGGGCUUAAAGCGUUCGUAGCUGGGUUAUUAAGUCUCUUGGGAAAUCUACCGGCUUAACCGAUAGGCGUCCAAGGGAUACUGGUAAUCUAGGGACCGGGAGAGGUGAGGGGUACUUCAAGGGUAGGAGUGAAAUCCUGUAAUCCUUGGGGGACCACCUGUGGCGAAGGCGCCUCACCAGAACGGCUCCGACAGUGAGGGACGAAAGCCGGGGGAGCAAACCGGAUUAGAUACCCGGGUAGUCCCAGCCGUAAACGAUGCGCGUUAGGUGUAUCGAUGACCACGAGUCAUCGAGGUGCCGAAGGGAAACCGUGAAACGCGCCGCCUGGGAAGUACGGUCGCAAGGCUGAAACUUAAAGGAAUUGGCGGGGGAGCAC
RNAcentral lists this ribosomal RNA (789 nucleotides) under uncultured archaeon. Its description in RNAcentral is "bacterial SSU rRNA". It matches the Rfam family "Archaeal small subunit ribosomal RNA", at positions 85 to 879 of the family's 1478-position model. The record is from RNAcentral.